Molecule: transfer RNA, 85 nt
Filed under: Chloroflexota bacterium
Lineage: Bacteria; Bacillati; Chloroflexota
Description: Chloroflexi bacterium (freshwater metagenome) tRNA-Leu
Rfam family: tRNA
About the family: Transfer RNA (tRNA) molecules are approximately 80 nucleotides in length.
Source: RNAcentral
GCCGAAGUGGCGGAAAGGUAGACGCGAUGGUCUCAAAAACCAUUGGGAGGUUGCUCCCAUGUGGGUUCGAUUCCCACCUUCGGCA